AGAAAUCCUACAUAUGCAGUUAUUCUUUAGACCACAUUCGUUACUACUAUUUUGACACUGUUGAAUUUCACCCCAGUCCUGCAAUCGUGGAUUAGAGCAUUCAUUUUCUUAAUGGAAGAAUAAGGCCAUACCUAAACAUAUUAAAAUAUUAUUCACUUUGACAAUGGAACUAGUUCCAAGACAUGAACUAUUGCUAUAUUAGAAACAAGAAGCAAUCAGUAUUUUUCAUUGCCUAAGAAUCUCUAUACUACAAAAAAAUCCAUCACUUCUAAUGAAAUUGACACACAGAAAAUGAAGCCACAUGAACAUCUGAAAGAGAUUAAAAUGGAAUAAAAAGUCCUCAGUAGAAUUUUAAUGUAUUUUUAUAUUAGCAUCAAAGACCAAUAUUGUAUGGCUUCAGAUAUAUGCUUGCAACACAAUUAUUUUAAGAUACUUAUUAGAAAUCACACAGUGGUUUUAACUUACUAAGGUGCUGACAAGAGGCUGUUUUGUUUUAUGUGGUAUUGGCUAGAACUGCAUUCAUCUGGAGACUCAACUAUGUGGAACAUUUAAGGUGACUCCUACAAAACCGGCACCUGUCAGGAGCUCAGGGUCUUUCUUCUGGAGUGUCCCUGUGGUCUUUUAACCCACACCUCUCCUUUGGAUAGGCUUUCUCCCAGCUAUGCAGCUGGGUUCCAAGAAGGGUUACCCCUAACAGCAAAGAUAGAAACUACAGAUAUCUUACGAUGCAGUAGCAGAAGUUACACCAUGGCAUUUCCCCUGCAUUCUCUUGGGCCAAACCAGUCAUAGGGCCUAACCAGAGUCAAGGACAAAGAAAUAGGCACUUUGUCUCUCCAUGGGAAGGAGUGACAGAAUUUGAAAGAAAAUUUAAUCCACCGUAUUUAUUUCAAUUCUACUAGACUGUGAGCUCCAAUAACUUUGGAGCAAAAUAACUUUUAUUCAUGACUGUGGUAGAAAAAUAUCAUUACAUAAAAGACACUUAAUGAAUAUGUGUUGGAUUCUUUUAAUAUAUAAAACCAAUCUAAUGCAUUGGCAUUAAAAUUAUUGUUUAAUUUUUAGAGUUAUGAUGGUUCAGUCUCACAUCUAAGUACCACAUAAUCCUACAAUUUAUGUAAUGUGAUAUCUACACAAUAAAAUGCACAUAUACAAAGUUUAAGUUAUUUCAGACAGCCACAAACUAAACUGAAGUUUUAUCUUUGUAUUAUCAGUAUAAAUAGGCCUGUUAAUCAAGUUAAUUGAGUAAACAAGACUAGAGGAACACUGGUUAAUUUAAUCAAGAGAUAAAACUGUCCGUGAGACAAUAAAAAAUUUUGGAACCUUUCAGAAUAUUGUUAAUAUCCAAGUGUAAAAUAAAACUAACAGUAUUUUGGCUUAAACAAGUACAUAUAAAUUUAUAAGCGUUUUAAAAACAUGUUUUCAAAGAUUCCAAAUAAACUAAAAGUGAUUACUAUUUUUGAAAUUCAUAAAUUUUUAUACUUUUCCUUGCAAUUUGCAUAUCAGCAGUAAAGAAAUGGUUCUCUAGUUUGUGCAGUUAGGAAAGUCAUAUUCUAUAAUUGUUUAAUGCCUAACUUUUGAUGUAUGUGUUGGUAAAUAGCCCAGGGUUUAAGUAAACAUUUGCUAUUCAUCAUCUUAAGAAAUAAGACCAUUGAUUUAUAAAUGUAUUCAUAAAGCAGAGCUGCAAAAGUCAUGGGUGAGUAAUUUAAAAAGGUAUUUGUUCUCUCUUUAUUGAAUACCAUAUGCCAUACAUACCUAAUUCUCACAAUUGCAUAUUUCAAUUUUCAUGAAAAUAUAAACAAAGGGAUAAUGAAAUAUAAUUGAUCAUUAUAUGUACCAUUACUACUGCCUACAAUAAACUAUACUGUGCAAAAAGAGGCGAGCUUCUUCCAAGAAAUGAAGAGAUAAAUACAAUUCCUUUAUAAAAGCAAAAAUUACAAUUCCAUUUUUUAACAUUUCAUGCUGAUAAAUAUGCAAACAUUACUCCAUAAACUCCAACAUGUUGCUUCUAAAACUGCAAAUAAUGGCAACAGGUAAUUUUUUGCAGGAAAAACACUAUAAUUUACUUUAAUUUUGGUUUUUCCCCUGACACACUGGAAUUCAUAUAUAUAUGA
Molecule: long non-coding RNA, 2108 nt
Organism: Felis catus (domestic cat)
Lineage: Eukaryota; Metazoa; Chordata; Mammalia; Carnivora; Felidae
Exons: 4
Source: RefSeq, a predicted model, not a curated record